RNA transcript from Prosopis cineraria, 2070 nucleotides. It is a transcript of the gene named LOB domain-containing protein 36-like, with no coding region annotated. The transcript has 3 exons. NCBI's taxonomy places the organism in Eukaryota, Viridiplantae, Streptophyta, Magnoliopsida, Fabales, Fabaceae. The record is from RefSeq and is a predicted model, not a curated record.
UCGAAAAGAAAGAGAUGAAGCCAGGUCCCAACGCUGUUUGCUUGUGGCAGUGGCGCUGAAGAAAGUAGAAAAGGCACCGUCUCCAUCGUUCUCCUCCCGCUCGCCCUUCACCUCCUCGUUAUUCUGCAUAUUCUAUUGCACGCACUCUCGCCUCCAUUUAAAGACCACAAAUUUCACUGGGGCUUUGGGCAGUUCUGCAGAUUCAACACCAUCGUUUUGACCCGUUUCAUGUCGGUUCCUUUUCGAGAACGAUAUUGGCUUUGAUUAUUAGACAGAUGCUCCGAUAGACUUUGAGUAUUUUUAAUUAUUAUUCGUCGAUUUUUUAAUGUAUAAUAAACAAUCGCCGUAUGAAGCUUCAUUGAAUUAUCGCCCAUUUAUUUGUCUGUGCGUUUCCUCAUUUCCAUGUUUGAUUAUACUAUUAUAUACUGUUAGUGUUAAUAUUUAAUUACACGCCCGUCUGAUUCUCUAUCUUUCGCUUCAGAGUUUAAACCUCUUUGUUGAAAUAACAGUGCUGUUUAAUGUUUCACGUUUAAUUGAGAGAGACAAAUAAGAUCGUCCAUUUUACGGAUAUAUCUUUGGGUAUCUUUUUUUUUUUUUUAAUAGCAGUUGUCUCAGUGGAGAUCGAGAAAUGUCAUCAUCGAAUUCUCCGUGCGCUGCGUGCAAGUGUCUGAGGCGGAAAUGCACGCAAGAAUGCGUGUUCGCACCGUACUUCCCGCCGGACAACCCCCAGAGGUUCGCUUACGUCCACAGGGUAUUCGGGGCAAGCAAUGUCGCUAAGCUUCUCAAUGAGCUCAACGCUGCGCAGAGAGACGACGCCGUCAAGUCUCUGGCUUACGAAGCCGAGGCCCGUCUCCGGGACCCAGUCUAUGGCUGUGUGGGUCUCAUCUCCAUCCUUCAGCACAGGCUCAGGCAGAUCCAAGUCGAACUCAAUAAUGCCAAGAAGGAGCUCGCCACGUAUAUUGGCCCUCAGGCUCUUCAGGCCAUGCCUCCCACCAUUCUGGCACCUUCUGGUAUGAUCCCACCGCAACACCCAAACAACCCAUAUUCUUCCACCACCGCCUAUCCCUAUAACAACAUGCCACCGCCUGCGCCUAUGACCAAUAUUCAGGCCGGUGGCUCUUCUCAUAGCGGCCAACUGGUGAUUCGCGACCCUUCCCAACAGCAUCAGAUCUUGGACGCUCAGCAAUUGGCUGCCGCCGUGGGGGCGAGAGAACAGCAAGAUAUGUUCCGAGGUUAUGAGCAGCAGCAACAGCAGCAAGAGUUUCUGAGGUUCAACGGUGGAUACGAUGUGGGUUCAGUUUCUGGGAGUGGAUUCAACAAUCACAUAUCUUCAACUGCUAGUCCCACCGAGAUGUCUCCUUCCUUGGCUCUUGGCUCCUUCGACAGCCCUUACGGCGGCCAGAUGCAACCGCCGCAAGCCGAACACCACCACCAUCAGCUUCAAGCCCAGCUGAUGCUUUCCCCUCAGCAGCCGCAACCACAGCAACAAAGCCAGCAGUCACAGCAACCCCAUCAUCAGCAACAGUCAGAAAGCGAGGAGGGUAGGAGUGGCAUCUGCCUUUCUUGUUGAUCUUUCCAUUUUUGCAGCACUAGCGCCAGCCCGCCUGUUUAGUGAAACAAUCUUCAACCUAGUUCUUGCCUGUCAGAUACAAAUAAAUAAAAAGAGCGAUCGAGAGGAGUAGAGCAUAUAUGUGAGAUUCAAUCCUCCGUCGUUUUUUGGGUAUAUAAAGAAGGCUCCCGCGGUAGACAGUAUAUCUCUUAAAAAAUGACACUUCAUUGAUCUGGGAGAUCAAACUGAGUACAGAUUCUUCUUUGAAGUAGUAAUUUUCUUUCAUCUUCUUUCGUUUUGUCCUCUCCCCCCCCCCCCAAAAAAAAAAAAAAAAAACCAUACUUAUCUUCGUUCCCGUCAUUUCUAGAUUCCCACUUCCAUCAUAGCCACUCGCACUUACUAAGUAGUUUGCUAAUGACGUUGUGAUGGAUGUACUUAGAAAUGUGUUAGUACUUAGUAAUUGAUACCUAAGAUUUACAAUUAACAGUUAAACCGUAUUAGCUUUAAUUUCUGCCCCUUCA